UAUUAAAGCGGUACGUGAGCUGGGUUUAGAACGUCGCGAGACAGUUCGGUCCCUAUCUGAUGUGGGCGGAGGAGAUUUGAGGAGGGCUGUCCUUAGUACGAGAGGACCGGGAUGGACGAACCUCUAGUGUACCAGUUGUCCCGCCAGGGGCACCGCUGGGUAGCUACGUUCGGUAGUGAUAAACGCUGAAAGCAUAUAAGCGUGAAGCACGCUCCAAGAUGAGAUCUCCCGUGCGCAAGCACCUGAAGACCCCUGGAAGACCACCAGGUUGAUAGGCUGGGUGUGUAAGACGUAAGUCUGAGCUAACCAGUACUAAUCGGUCGUGAGGCUUGACCAUA
This 338-nucleotide ribosomal RNA is filed under the name Acidobacteriota bacterium. Its description in RNAcentral is "Acidobacteria bacterium (groundwater metagenome) partial 23S ribosomal RNA". It matches the Rfam family "Bacterial large subunit ribosomal RNA", at positions 2586 to 2925 of the family's 2925-position model. The record is from RNAcentral. Lineage: Bacteria; Pseudomonadati; Acidobacteriota.